UGUUGCUGACCUUUCUCAGAUCCGAAGCUGCUGCUCCAGGCACAGUACUUGGAGUAAUCACUGGUCAUCACUGAGGAAUUAUAAGUCCUCCAGAGAGCAGAAUCAAUUCUCUUUGGAGCUGUAGUUGUCAUUGCCCCUAGAAAGGACUGAAACUUUUGCUUUGCAAAAAGUUAAACCUUUAUCCUCAACAUACUCCCUUAGGUUAAAGAGAGUAGGAUGUGGUGAGAAGAACAACCUCUGGGGCAACCAGCAUGCUGCAGACACAGGGUCUGAAGUUAGGAAGGUGGAGGUAGCUGUUUUUCAUCGCCUUCUGACUGGCUGCCACCUGGGGAUAGUCCACCAUGGCUGGAUCUGGGCAGGAUUUGAAGUAUUCACCAAACCAUGCUGUGUUGAGUCUCCGAAAACUACUUGGCAAGACUUUUCAGGGGUAAAGGAAGUUUUCUCUGUGGAAGUGAAGUUCCAUCAACAAUCAGAAGAGCCUGUGAAUAGGAAAUAUUACCUUUACACUCAACCAGACUGCCUCAGUUGUCUUGAGUUGACUACAGAUUUCAGCAUGUUCAAAGCAUAGCAUUUUUACCUCUGUUAUAAAUUACAGAAAUUAAUAUAUAUAUAUAUUCAAUUUUGAAUUUUUAAAAGAAAAUAGAUUUCAAACAAUGGCAUCACUUGGGGGGGUGUCUUUUUUUCUUAUAGUGUUGAAAU
Molecule: long non-coding RNA, 699 nt
Filed under: Anser cygnoides (Swan goose)
Lineage: Eukaryota; Metazoa; Chordata; Aves; Anseriformes; Anatidae
Description: lncRNA (ENSACDG00005009276.1)
Source: RNAcentral